GGUUUGCCCAGCUCAUCUAGGCACUGACCCACCAUGCCUUUGGCCUGCCACACCUCAUGGCAGACUCCGCACGGCAUGGGCUAUGCUUGCUACCCAGGCUCCAACCCAUCUGGGCCACCAUUCUGCUACUCCACCACUCCACCUCUCUGCUGCCGCUUCUUGGCAGAGACCAGUAGUCCAGCUAUGCAGAUUGGCAUCUGAGGAGCCAUGUUAAUCACUACUCUUUGCUUCUAGGUCUCUAACUGUAGUUUACUCUUAAUGGACCCUUAAAGGUGAGACACAAUGUAUAACCCAUGAAGAGUUAUGCUGAAGUGCAAAAGAACUACUUGAGCUUUCUAGUUUAUACAACACGUAUAGGAAUUGGUAGUAAGAAUGGGUAGUAGGACAAUGGUAAAAUGAACAUAAAAUUGGAUGAGGCACAAUUUAUUGAAAUGGACGUCACUAAGCAGAGAUUCUGCAUUUACUGUUCUAGCUCAUAGAGUUAGAAAAGAUACUGGUUGGAUGGUGAAAACUUGCACCAAAAUGUGGCCCAAAUUGAGUGAAUCAGAAAUGCCAGACCUAGCUGGGCACAGUGGUGCACACCUGUAAUCCCAGAGACUCAGGAGGCCGAGGCAGGAGGAUUGCAAGUUCAAGGCCAGUUUCAGCAAUUUAGUGAGACCCUUUUCAAAAUAAAAUUUAAAAAAGACUGGAGAAUGCAACUCAGUUGUAGAGCACCCCUGGGUUCAAUCCUCUGGAACAAAAACAACAAAAAAUCUGAAGCUGCCUUGAUUUAUCACUGAGAGUGGCACAGAAGAAAAGUUAUCUCCAAAAAAAGAUUUGAGGAAUUUCUGGAGAGAAAGGAGAUCUUGACUAGGACCAGCAGAGUUCCUGGCAUAUGUGAAGAAGAGUUUCAGCACAUACCAGUCAGAGACAUAGAGGUUUCUUCAGGAAAGCUGAGGCCCAUUCAAGGAAGAAUGUGGGCUUUCUCAAGAGUGAGAAGCUUUGGGGGAUAAAACAAAAAUAUACAUUCGAG
Molecule: long non-coding RNA, 1012 nt
Filed under: Marmota monax (woodchuck)
Lineage: Eukaryota; Metazoa; Chordata; Mammalia; Rodentia; Sciuridae
Source: RNAcentral